CUCGAGGCCAGAUCUUUCCGGUUGAUCCUGCCGGACCUGACUGCUAUCGGAUUGAUACUAAGCCAUGUGAGUCAUUGUAGCAAUACAAGGCAGACGGCUCAGUAACACGUAGCCAACCUACCCUAUGGACGGGGAUAACCUCGGGAAACUGAGGAUAAACCCCGAUAGAUCAUUAAUCCUGGAACGGUUUAUGGUCCAAACGAUUCGUCGCCGUAGGAUGGGACUGCGGCCUAUCAGCUUGUUGGUGAGGUAAUGGCCCACCAAGGCUAUUACAGGUACGGGCUCUGAGAGGAGAGGCCCGGAGAUGGGUACUGAGACACGGACCCAGGCCCUAUGGGGCGCAGCAGGCGAGAAACCUUUGCAAUGUGCGCAAGCACGACAAGGUUAAUCCGAGUGUUUCCUGCUAAAGGAAUCUUUUGUUAGUCCUAAAAACACUAGUGAAUAAGGGGUGGGCAAGUUCUGGUGUCAGCCGCCGCGGUAAAACCAGCACCUCAAGUGGUCAGGAGGAUUAUUGGGCCUAAAGCAUCCGUAGCCUGCUCUAUAAGUUUCCGGUUAAA
This 557-nucleotide ribosomal RNA is filed under the name uncultured archaeon. Its description in RNAcentral is "bacterial SSU rRNA". It matches the Rfam family "Archaeal small subunit ribosomal RNA", at positions 1 to 549 of the family's 1478-position model. The record is from RNAcentral.